GGGGAUUUGGCUUAGUGGUAGAGCGCUUGCCUAGGAAGCGCAAGGUCCUGGGUUCGGUCCCCAGCCCCG
This 69-nucleotide transfer RNA is filed under the name Rattus norvegicus (Norway rat). It matches the Rfam family "tRNA". From Rfam's summary of the family: Transfer RNA (tRNA) molecules are approximately 80 nucleotides in length. The record is from Rfam by way of RNAcentral. Lineage: Eukaryota; Metazoa; Chordata; Mammalia; Rodentia; Muridae.